GGGGCGAGAGCCUGGGAAGCUCAAGAACGUUUAACCCUUCCCUGCCCAGAGAAAACCCGAAUCCUGGCUUCCCAUCCUUCCCUGGCCUCACCCAGAGAAAACCCAGCGCAACCCCCAGCCCUUCUCCACACCACCCCCGUCUCACUUCUGUCCUUGGGUGGGGCCACCCUUGUCUCUGCCGAACACCCUGGGGCCAUCCCUCGCCCCACCCUGCAGCUAAUCCAGGAUUAGCCAGUCCUGAUCUCUAAAGGCUUCUACCAGAACUGUCCCCUUUCUAUUUCUUUCCAGAAACCACUCCUGCUGGCUGUUUACAAGGUGCCUACAAGUUGUGUCCCAGCAGGGUCCCGGCAGGCAGGAGGACACCUGAGUCCCAGUCCAGGGGCCGCCACUGACUGGACCGUCCGACCCACGCCUGCCCCUCUCCUGGGCAAGGAUCAGACAGUGCCCAGGCCACCAGCUUAGACGGUGCAACAGUCCAUGGGGUCACAAAGAGUUGGACAUGACUGAGCGACUGAACUGAACUGAGGCCACCAGUGGCAAGUUGGAGGAGCUGGAAUGUGGGGUGGGUCUCUGUGGGCCAGCAGACAGGCUCUGAGCGACUCUGCAUUCCAAAGUUUUGGGGACAGCAGGAGUACCUCCUGGACACUUGGCAAGUGCCACAAACUGUUCGUUAGCAGGAGCUGUUCUGGGUGGAAUGUGAAGAGGCUAGUGUGCAUUAUUUCUGAGGAUUACAUCUGAUGACACGGCGCGGAAAACACAAAUGGACAAAUGGACAUAAUCGUGAAGACGAGAGACGCGAGAACGUGCCUUAGUGUCCAAGUGAUCGAUCGAAGGUGGCGGGGACCCUGGAGACUGAUCUCAAUGAAGUGAGCUGGCUUUCCCGCCACCAGGCGCUGCGUGGGCUGGGCGCCUGGGACAGAAACCUAUCCAGAACCUGGAGGGCCUGUCUACCCUGGUGGCGACCCUGCCUCUAGGUGUCCCGUGCUGAAGGACGGGGUGGCACGUCACCAGGUGGGGACAGGGCUGACGUCAGCCGCUGAGGCUAGUGGUGGCACUGGGCUAACUCAUGACACACGAGGUGCGAAAGCAGAGUCCGGGUGAGGCGGCUCCUCUGGGCUCCUAACACUGCCACAAAGUCGGGGCAGGGAGGACGGAGGGUGCAGCGGGGAGGGGGUGGGGGCGGAGCACCGUUCAUCUGGGGAUGAGCCAACCCGAGUCCCCUCCCUUCUUGGCAGCUCCGGAACAUUCCCUUUGGCCAACAGCCACAGAA
This 1270-nucleotide long non-coding RNA is filed under the name Bos mutus (wild yak). RNAcentral's name for it is "lncRNA (ENSBMUG00000000726.1)". Lineage: Eukaryota; Metazoa; Chordata; Mammalia; Artiodactyla; Bovidae. The record is from RNAcentral.